This 27-nucleotide unclassified non-coding RNA is filed under the name Dictyostelium discoideum. The record is from RNAcentral. Lineage: Eukaryota; Evosea; Eumycetozoa; Dictyosteliales; Dictyosteliaceae.
AAUCAUGCUGAAUGGAAAUUUCUGAUU